GCACUGCUGAGGAGUCCCAUACUAGGACGAGACGGUCUUCCAGUGC
RNAcentral lists this non-coding RNA (46 nucleotides) under Schistosoma bovis. Lineage: Eukaryota; Metazoa; Platyhelminthes; Trematoda; Strigeidida; Schistosomatidae. RNAcentral also lists the same sequence under 1 other name. The record is from RNAcentral.